AUUGAACGCUGGCGGCAGGCCUAACACAUGCAAGUCGAGCGCGCGGGGGAGGGGGGAGUAAUAUCUGGGAGAAUGUCUGAUGGGGGGGGAUAACUCCUGGAGACGGUGGCGAAAACCGCACACCAUCAGAUGUGCGCAGAUGGGGUUAGCGAGUAGGUGGGGUAACGGCGCACCUAGGCGACGAUCCCUAGCUGGUCUGAGAGGAUGACCAGCCACACUGGAACGGAGACACGGUCCAGACUCCUACGGGAGGCAGCAGUGGGGAAUAUUGCACAAUGGGCGCAAGCCUGAUGCAGCCAUGCCGCGUGUGUGAAGAAGGCCUGCGGGUUGUAAAGCACUUUCAGCGAGGAGGCGUUACCCGCAGAAGAAGCACCGGCUAACUCCGUGCCAGCAGCCGCGGUAAUAC
RNAcentral lists this ribosomal RNA (406 nucleotides) under uncultured bacterium. Its description in RNAcentral is "partial 16S ribosomal RNA". It matches the Rfam family "Bacterial small subunit ribosomal RNA", at positions 29 to 526 of the family's 1533-position model. The record is from RNAcentral.